Molecule: long non-coding RNA, 857 nt
Filed under: Malus domestica (apple)
Lineage: Eukaryota; Viridiplantae; Streptophyta; Magnoliopsida; Rosales; Rosaceae
Description: long non-coding RNA (MDOM_LNC005771)
Source: RNAcentral
GGAGCUCGAGUAUCUCGAGUUAUACACGUCUUCCCCUCAAACAAAUGGUACCGCUAAACUCGUGAGGUCGAGGGAAGUAUGAUGUUGGAAAUAUGCCCUGAAAGUCAAUCUUUGGAAGAAACCUUUCAGGACAAUAAAUGGAUGUAUAGAUGACUCUUAUACAUCAAAUGGCAAAGAUACUAUUUAGGACUAUCUCUAUAAACGAUAUAUGUCCUAAAUGAUGAAUCCAUGGACAAUGGAUCGAUUGAAGAAGUAAUCUAAUGAUGUUACACUAUAGAGACCUUCUUCACAUAACCAUCAUGUCCAAAAGGUUCUUGGUCAUAGGAUUGUAGGAGGGAUACUGACAAUGCAUAGACCGGUACAUACUAUGUCCGCUUCAAUUAGACGGAUGGAAAGUCUCAUCCCAUUCGUGUAGUGACACUAAGACAAGUAUGUAGGUGCUCAUUAAGGGAAUGAGUUCACUGAACACAAUUGAACGAGAGUACUUGCAUAGAGGUCUACUCACAUGUCAAGCAAGUAACUCUAAUAGUUGGAAUAAUGUAAGUAGUCCUUUGACCUGAGGCAUCAUCGUGUCUUGUGGUUAAGUACUUGAUCUUUGAUUAUGUCAAAGUCACUCCAUCCGCGGGUGUCCACGGCAUAGUCGGGGUUAAGCCACUUAGUCAUGAAGGCAAGUGAAUGCGCAACAAGGAAUCUCUAAUCCUCAUUAAGAGAGGAUGAAUACUCUAAGAUAUGAUUCUGGAAUCUUCGGCCGAAGUAUCGAGCGUAAUAAAGGAAAGCGUUCCUAUACAACUCAAUUGAAUCAUAUAAGAAGGAAUAAUCACAUUAGGGGUUUGACAUAAUAUAUCCAUACCCUAGUG